Molecule: long non-coding RNA, 3492 nt
Organism: Stegostoma tigrinum
Lineage: Eukaryota; Metazoa; Chordata; Chondrichthyes; Orectolobiformes; Stegostomatidae
Exons: 3
Source: RefSeq, a predicted model, not a curated record
UAUUCCGAUUUAAACUGAGGAUUCCAAGCUGCUGUUAACUCCAACAUCCCUCCCCUACACGCCCACACAAAGAAAGUGUUUUAACUAAACUUCAUGCAAAACAUUUCGGUGCCCGUCGUCCCCAACCUUUUCAAGGGAUUUCUUUUAGUAAAAUCAGCUGUUAAAUCGAGGGAAACAAACAUUGUUUCUGUCUUACCUGAACUAAGACAGAGCCCCUCCCAGCCCGGCCUCCUGGGGACUGCGGCCGGGAGCUGAAUUCACCUUUAACUCCUGCACCGAAAUGACCAGCCAGGCUGAAAUCUGGGAGCUCACCUGUCAAGAAAAGCUGCUGUACCCAUGGAUACCUACAGAGAACACACUGCCUUUGAUGGAACUGAAAAGACAAAUGGAUCAGGAAGUGGAGAUAGCGAAGAAUCGGUGAAAGUUCAGCUUUAAGGUAGAACCCAUUGUACCAGGCCAACAGUGGCACUUUCCUGUCACUGGGUCACAUCUUCCUUCUUCACCACACGGACAAAGCAUCCUACAAUCUUUUCCAUAAUAGCCUUCUGGACAAGCUGUAAAAGAGAAAUAUUUGUUCAGAUCCUGCCAGAUAAGCUCAUCACCAUUUCAGGUCUUCAGCAACUGAAUUUUGUAAAUAAAACAAACUAUUUUCCAUGCCUCCAUGGUAUGUUGGGUCUUAGGUAAACUAUCAGUAUUAAGUACUUGUAUAGGCACAGAAAUGUGACCAUUAUAUGCAGAUUUAUAGGUUAUAAUGUUGUUGGAUCAGCACCUGUAUAUGAAGUUGGAACAUCUAAACAUGUUAUGCCUGAUGAGAAGAAGGUAGCAUUUGUGAGAACAGCUCAGAUCAUCAUUACUGGAUGGCUAAGCAAUAAUUUCUUAUUUAUAAACCAUACUUUUAUUAAAUCAUUCAUGUGGCUAAACAUCACUUCUUGCAUCUGUAAUGUGACAUCCCUGUUGCCUCUUCAACAUUCUUCCAUGCCUCUUUAAUGCCCCUGCUUAUCUCCAUAUGCUCCCUCAUUGUCUCAAUGACCACCUCUAGUUCCAAAAACCCCUCUUACACAUUGUCCCCAGCACUCACCAUUCCUUCACUUGCAAUGCGUGCGCAACCCCUUUUGAUAUCCCAGUUUUAGUGACCAAAUCUUCUGAAAGCAAGACCCAAUCUGCUGACAUUCCUUCCCACAAACCCUUCACUUGGACUCCCUCUUUUAAGAUCCUCAAUCAAUCCACCAUUUUACCAAGUUCUGACUAUUCCUCCUAAAAAAAACCCUUCCAUUGAAACACUGUCCAUUUUUGUUAGAGUGAGCCUCUGAGAAGUACUUCAGGAAAGUAUCUCUGUAUUAAAAAGGUCUGUAUAUGCUGUUGAUGAUGGCCUUGAUGACAGUGAAGGAGCUAACUGUAUGCCUGAGGGGGCUGAAUAGAGAUGGAAUUGUUUUGUAUCUUAUUCAUAGAGUAAAGGAAUCAGCUAAAUCACAGAAUGCUUGGGGCACAGAUGGUGGCCAUUUGGCCUGGUAGCCCCUACUGGUUCUUUAUAUGAGCAAUUCAUGACUCCCAACCCUUACUCUAAAGCCCUGCAAAUCUUUUACAUUCAGGUACUAAUCAAGUACCUAUAUUAAAGCCAGGCUUGAAUCUGUCACCAUCUCAGGCAAUGCAUUCCAGAUCCUAUAUCCCACUGCAUAAAGGCUUUCCUCAUGUCACCUUGGUUACUGAAGAAUAUAGAUAGGUGAAGCAAUAAGGCCAUUUAGACCCUCAUCCACCAUUCAAUAAGAUCAAGGCUGAUCUGACUGCUGCCUAAUCUCCACGUUCUUGUCUGUGCCCCCAAAACCCUUAACUCCCUUGUCAAUCAAAAGGCAAACUCAGCCUUGAAUAUAAGCAAUGACCUAGCCUCUGUGGGUUUUCGGUGAGAGAAUUCUAAAUGUUGAGGACCCUCUGAGGGAAGAAAUUCCCCUUCAUCUCUGCCUUAAAUGGGAGACUUCUCAUUUUGAAUCUGUGCUCCCCUAGUUCGAGAGUCCCCCACAAGGAGAGGUAUCCUCUCAUCAUCCAUCCUGUCAAAGCCACCCAGAAUCCUAGAUUUCAAACAGUUAUUUUGCCAUUCUCUUCUUUUCUACGCAUUGACAUUUGCAAUUUGUAAGGGAUUGACAACAGAGAUGCUUGAAUGGAAAAUGAAAGGCUUACAUCUUUCACAGAAUGUUCCAGUCCAUCCUGCUGCACAGGUGCACGCGCCACUGACGUGGUCACAAGCUGCUCCAUUUUCACACUGACAUCUGAACUUACAUCCUGAACCAUAACUUCCACCGGGGCACUCUGUACACAGGAGACAUAAAAAGCCAGUAUGAGGAUCUGUUGCAAUGCUGUGCUGCAGACCAAUAAAUUGCCCCACCUCAGUGUGCAAUCUGUCCUGCCUUCCAGAAAUGGCAACACGGGGGCUCAGUGGGUACACUGCUGCCUCACAGUGCCAGGGGCCCAGGUACGAUUCCACCCUCGGGCUACCGUCUGUGUAGAGUUUCCUUCGGGUGAUCCGGUUUCCUCCCACAGUCUAAAGCUGUUCAGGUUAGGUGGAUUGGCCAGGCAAAUUGCUCACAGUGUUCAGGGAUGUGCAGAUUAGGUGGGUUAUAGGGUGAUGGGUCUGGGUAGGAUGCUCUAAGGGUUGGUGUGGACUUUUUGGACCAAAGGGCUUGAUGCCACACUGUAGUGCUUCUAUGAUCUAUGAUCUUCUGCAAAAAUCAACUGAAUGAAUGCAACUAUAUCUGUCAUUCCAUGCAUUUCAAAGUAACCAAAGGGAAAUGUGAUCAAUGCAUUACAAGGCAGCUAAUGUUUAAAAAGUCACACACAAUGUUAUUGCUGAGAGAACUUAACUUGUGUCUUUGACUUCAGAAAGUCGACAUUACAUUUGGACAACACAAAACACAUUAAACCACACACAUUGGUGCAUUUAGUACAACAUCCCAAUAGAGUUAAGGGAGGAAACGAUUAAAGAAGCUGACCUGGGCUUUAGUCCAAUAACAACAGAAAAUUGCAAAUCUCAGAGGCUCUAGUUCAUUUCAUUCAUGAUCAGAACUAAUGACUAUUGUGGUUUGAAACAUUUGAACAAUGAUAAUUCAUGAACAUUGACAUAUUAAGAAAUUGCUGGAAAAGCUCAGCAGGUCAGGCCGCACCUAUGGAGAGAAAGCUGAGUUUGCAUUUUGGGUCCAGUGGCCCUUCUUCAGAAAUAUUAAUUCAGAUGCUGCCUGACCUGCUGACCUCUUCCAGCGAUUUCUGACCUUAUUUCUGAUUUCUAGCAUCCACAGUUUUUGAGUUUUUGAUUGCAAAUUCCAAUUCACCAGCUGUCCAUCAAACCUGUGCAAGUCCUGCCCGGGAUAGCAGGAUUGGAGAAUCAAUGUAUCUAGUGUCAAUGACUUAAAGGAACAACACACUACAGACAAAUAUAUUUGACAUAAUGCUUUUUAGAUGAUCAAAACCAAAAGAAUUGCCAGUGCUGUAAAUCAGAAACAAAAA